This 407-nucleotide ribosomal RNA is filed under the name uncultured bacterium. Its description in RNAcentral is "bacterial SSU rRNA". It matches the Rfam family "Bacterial small subunit ribosomal RNA", at positions 355 to 776 of the family's 1533-position model. RNAcentral also lists the same sequence under 2 other names. The record is from RNAcentral.
UGGGGAAUAUUGCGCAAUGGGGGCAACCCUGACGCAGCAACGCCGCGUGAGUGAAGAAGGUUUUAGGAUUGUAAAGCUCUGUCUUUGGGGACGAAACAAAUGACGGUACCCAAGGAGGAAGCCCCGGCUAACUACGUGCCAGCAGCCGCGGUAAUACGUAGGGGGCAAGCGUUGUCCGGAAUUACUGGGCGUAAAGGGCACGCAGGCGGUAUAAUAAGUCAGAUGUGAAAGUUUACAGCUUAACUGUGAAAGUGCAUUUGAAACUGAUAUACUUGAGUCUCGGAGAGGUAAGCGGAAUUCCUAGUGUAGCGGUGAAAUGCGUAGAUAUUAGGAGGAACACCGGUGGCGAAGGCGGCUUACUGGACGAGUACUGACGCUCAUGUGCGAAAGCGUGGGGAGCAAACAGG